Long non-coding RNA from Sphaeramia orbicularis (orbiculate cardinalfish), 99 nucleotides. RefSeq lists it as uncharacterized. Lineage: Eukaryota; Metazoa; Chordata; Actinopteri; Kurtiformes; Apogonidae. The record is from RefSeq and is a predicted model, not a curated record. The transcript is spliced from 3 exons.
UUUGACAUAAAAACAUCAAUAUUUCCUUUAAAAUUUAAUGGUAGAUUUUUCUUCCUCAGUGAGAUGUUAAGAAAGUAGACGGUUAGAAAUUUAGUCAAA